This 1298-nucleotide long non-coding RNA is filed under the name Melopsittacus undulatus (budgerigar). Its description in RNAcentral is "lncRNA (ENSMUNG00000019701.1)". Lineage: Eukaryota; Metazoa; Chordata; Aves; Psittaciformes; Psittaculidae. The record is from RNAcentral.
CCCGCGCACACCCCCUUAGGCUCACUGGCUGAGCCAGUACACCAAUCCGAAGGCGCAGCCGGCUCCGGCCAGCCAAUGGGAAGGCUGUUGCUAACACGCCGCAGUUAUUUUUAGUACGGCCGCCGCUCGCGUACCUUGCUGGUUCCCCGGCUCCGCUACGGACGGGCCGGCCCUCCUUCACUGAGGGCGGAAGCAUAGGGGUGUGCGGCGACAAGUAGUGCGCGGGUUGUGUGCCGAGGGGUGGGGAGCGCGGGGCCGUGGGGGCGGCUGAGCCUGCCCUCCGUGCGGUGACUUGGGCGGCCCCCGCUGCGCCUUGCCCCGUUGUCUCCUGAGGCGAUGGGCCGGCAGCACCUCCCCUCCCGCCGUGUCACGGGGCUGGGGGUCCCGUAGGGAGCAGCUGUGGGGAAAGGAGGUGGAGUUGCCUGUUUUCCUCGCCUUGGCGCUCUACCGCCUGCCUGCACCGCUAGCGGAGCUGGGGGGUUCCAGUGCGGGAGUGCUUGAACUCUUGGCUAUAGCUGUCUAGCGAGCGAGCUUGUCCCUUUGGGAGCCGUACUUCCUCAGGGUCCCCCUCACCCGAGCGGCCUGUCCGCAUCAGUGUAUCCGACCUCGCUGCCAAGCACCCGAGGAGAACGCCGGCCGGUCCCUUCCCUCCCCACUCCUGCUCCAUCACCUCACCAUGUCCGCCCAAUCCCCAAGGCCUCAGGCUAGGCCGCUUGGGGAAGUCCUGAGGUCAACCCUCAUCCCCCGUAAAGCCCCUGCCCCUUCCUUCCCCCUGUGCCGCCAGCGCUGAGCGAACAGGGGUACACAUCCCCCCGCUUCCCUAUCCAGUCCCUAGGGCUCUGCGGGAGACUAGGGGAGGGGGAAGUAGUCCCGGCCCGCCCUCCGCCGCCGCAUCACGCUGGGCGGGAGCGCGGAUCCCUGCGCGGGGUUGCUAAGGGUGAAAGUUUGCCGUGAGUUGGCUCACUUGAGGCUAGGGUGCGGGUGGCUCCGGGCCGGCGGGCGGCGGCAGUAGGGGCGAGAGGCGGCGACACCGGCACCCGCACCCCACCCUGGGCAUCCCGCACUACCGCUGGCCCCACCGCAGCCCCCGGUCCCGCCCCGCGGAGGAACCGUACCGCUGGGGAGAAGGCGAGGGAGGGGACGGGACGGGGCAGAGAUCCGCACACACCGCCCGGGCUCCGCCGGCAGCGCCCACGGCCACGACAGCCGCCGGCCCUGGAGCCGAGGACGAAGUCUGUUUGGAGCCACAUCUUGUCUAUGUGUGUGUCAUUUUGUCUCUUUUAAUACACUGCCCUGAC